Molecule: long non-coding RNA, 4366 nt
Organism: Panonychus citri (citrus red mite)
Lineage: Eukaryota; Metazoa; Arthropoda; Arachnida; Trombidiformes; Tetranychidae
Exons: 7
Source: RefSeq, a predicted model, not a curated record
GAAGACACCGAAUUUGCUCUUGAUAACGACGUUCCAAUAGUCUAAUUAACACAAAAAAGAGAAAAGAAAACCAUUUAAUUAAUUACUUUUCAACAGAGAAAAUCAAACCAAUCAAAACAGAAAAGAAUAGAAAAUAAAAAGAAUGACUAAUUUUUCUUUCUUUUUCUGGAUCUUUCCAAUUUCUCCUUUGUCUUCACUUGUUUUCCAUUUUAAUUUACAUGACCGUUUAGUUACCAUUCCAAUUUAAUUUGUUUCUUUUUCUUGAUUUAAGUUAAUUUUCUAAUUAAUCAAGAUGAUUAACAAUUAGUAACACAAAUCAAAGGAAAUAGUGAGUGUGAGAAAUUCACAUUCACAUUUCCCAACAAUUGACAAAAUCAAACAAAAGGUAUGAAAUUGAUCCAAUUCAAUUAAUCUGGUAUCUUCUUGAUUCAAUCUCCAUCAAUCUUGUUACUUUUUGCAAAUCUUGGAUUCUACAUUCAAGUUGAUAUAAACACUCAAUUCUGAUAUUUUUUUGUUCUGAUUUUUUACUCAAUUUUCAUGAUAUUAUAACACGAUGAUGAUUAUGAUGAUGGAUAUGGUGAUCCGAUGGGAAAAACAGUUGAUUAUGAGUAUCAAUAUGGGCCAGAAGAAGGUGAAUUAAGUUUUCUACAAGCAAACAAAUUGGUAUAAACAUAUUAUCAUAUUAAGGUAGCAGGAUUAAUUUAUCAUCAUACAUAUUAUACAACCAUCAUCAUCAUCAGUAAAUCGUGAUCAAAAUCAAAUAAUCAACAAUAACAACAAGAGAAAUGAAGAGAGAGAGAGAGAGAAAAAAAGUAAAAGCUUGUAGACAUGCUUCUGGCUUUUGUUGUGGUUAGUCAAUAACAUCAUUAUCUUCAUCUUAAUCAUAAUCAACAACAAUUACUGACGAAGGCGAUGUAUUUACUAUGAGAAACAUACAGAUACAAUUUAGAAAGUGCAACUUGGUGAUUGGGUUAAUAGGAUGAAUCUUUUUCCACUUUUUCCUGGACUUGGAAUGGAAAAUUUUCUUCAUCAUCAUUAACCCAUUGAGAGAUUUUUUUUUCUAUUCACCAAAAACCAGGACGAAGGUCCAAGCUCAAUGAUGAAUCGUGAGAGAAGUGUUGACAACGAUUUUGAAGGGACAUCUCAUCUUCAUUUACAAGCUCAUCAAGAACAUCAUUAUCUUCAUUAUCAUCAUUUUAUGAUGAUGGAGUAACCGUUAUGUGUAUGUCCGUAAAUAGAUUCCUUUCUAACCAUUAAUUUCUCCUUGGUGAAAAAAUUAGUGGGCGAAUAACAAGUGCUAACCACUCACUCAAGAAAAGAUGAGAUAAUACUUGAUAUUUUUGAUUUUGUUCUAAAAAGAUGAUGAAUAUAAAUAAUCUCAGCCUGGAUAUUUGAAGAAUCACCUUGCCCACCAGAAUAACGAACAAAAAAAUGAUAAAAUUCUCUAAAAUGUAAAAUUAAAAGAUGACGAUGAAAAAGGAAAAGUCAAAAAUGAAAGAAAUCAAGAUGAUGAUGAAGAAGAAACAAAAUUUGUAGGAGUUGAUGGACAUUGAGGUUGACCCUAAGUUCACUCUUCAAAAUCAACUGUCAAUUUAGUUGAACAUCAAUUGCAAUAAUGAUGAUAUCAACAUCGUGAACAUCAUCACCAUCAUCAUCAUUGUCAUCCCAAUUUUUUUAUUCAUCACAAUAACAACAAUAAUGAUGAUGGUAACAAGAAAGUAAAAAAGGGAAAUCCAAAUUCAUAAUUAGCUUAUCAACAAUUAAAGAAAGCAAAAGGAUGGACCCAUGAGUCGCAGCCACUUUUUGUAUACUUUUUCUGCGCUCGAUUAUCAUGAUAAUCAAAAUAGGACGAGUUAGUGAAAUUGAUGAUGAUCUUAAUGGAAUCAGAAAUAGAGGUUAAUUUAAAAGUGGUGACAAUAAUCACUACAAUGAUGAUGAUGAUGAUGAUGACCAUAAAGAGGAAGAUACAAGUAAAGAAGGAAAAGAAAAGACACCAAAAGCUGAAGGAAAUUCAUAACCAGGGAGAAAAAGAAAAUGUUCUGACGAUAAUAAUAAUGGUGAUGAUGAUGAAAGAACAAGUUUCAUCAUCAACAAUGUUCCAGGAAGAAGAAAAUAUCAACCAAGGAAGAUGAUAAAAGAAGACAGAAAAAGUUACUUUUUCCCUCGAAAAAAAGUUGAAUCUUUUUUUACUGAAUUUCCAACUAUUACUCAAUUUGAUGGAUAUAAUGAUUUAGUUAUUAGUGAUAAUAAUAAUGAAAACAAUUUCUUUCGUCGUGAUUAUUGUUAUUAUCACUCAUAACAUUCUAAACCUUAACUAAUUGUAAUUAGUAAUUUUUAAUCUCUUGUAAUGUAAAUCAAAUAAUCAAAUCAAUUAGAAAGAUUAUGAGAUUUACAGAUUACAUGAUUUUCUAAAUAAUCUUGUCCUACUUGUUGGAAGAUGAUGGGAGAGCAAAAGAUGAGGAAAGAUGAACAAACGCCUUUUCCUGUUGAUAAUCAUCAUCAUCGUUAAUUAUAAUCUCCAUCAACACCGAGAGCGAUUUUAUAAGGAAAAUGGGAAAUGGUAAUGUGAAAUUUGUUUCGCAUGAUGAUCGUCAACCUCUUGGGCAAGUAAAUCGGCUCGUGCAUUGGCCUCACUUAGAUUGACCCUUAGCUGAUCUCGUUCGGCUUUAGUUUGUUCAUACAAGAUCCUGUUAAUCAAGAAGAUAAUCAAGAUAAUUAGUUGAUCGUCCAAAGGGAAUUGAAAAUGUAUCAACAAAAAGUUGGAGGACAUCAAAAUAUAUUCAAAUUAGAUUGGAGAUCCAGUUUAUUUUCAAUUAAAAAGUGAAAUGAAAAGGUUAAUCAACAACCCGUUCGUUAUAAUUGUUGCCUUUUUAUCAACAAUUUAUUGCUAUUUAAAGUGAUGAUUAGGCAAAGGAGCGUCCAGUUGAUUAUAAUCAUUAAUUUCGUGUUCAAUUUUCUUGAUUUCAGUUGAUUAGUAGAUUGUUUCAAAAGUGUCUUCAUCUUUUUUUAUAUAUAAAAUAUUAAUCAUAAUCAUCUUGAUACAAUUAUCUUAAUAAUUAUUCUGAUGAUAUGAUAAUUAUUUUAAAUAAAUCAUCAUGUUAACAAUUUAUUACUUAUUGGUAAUCAUGAUGAUUAUCUGAUGAUGAAAGUUAAUCAAUCAACAAUCAAGUAAACAUUAACCAAGUUUAUUAUUUAUCAUAUAUUAAUAUACAUAAAAUGAGUUGAUUCAGUUUCUCAUUCUGCUUUUAAUUAAGUUCCUAUUAAAUUACUUGUUGGUUAUUUGAUUGCUUGGAUUAACAUGUUAAUCAACAACCUUUUGGGAUUUUUAUUGUAAAUCUAAUCAACAUGAGUUAACAACUAAUUUAACUUAAUUGAUUGAAAGUUUAUCACCAAUCCUUUUUAAAUAUUAAUCAUCGUUUCUAAUUGCUAUCAUCUUGAUUGUGAUUUAAUGUAGCUGAACAACUGAAUUUAUUUUAUUAAUUACACUAAUUAGUUGUUUAUUUUACAGAUUUAUUAACUACAAUUAAUGAAAUAUUGAGCUGUACUUUUAAUUGUUUGGAUUAGAUGGAAAUUGUUGUUGAUAAAAAUGGAAUCAAUUUGAUUGCUACUUAAUUAAUUUACCGUUGAAUUGGAUUGAAAAUUAACUGAAUUUGAUAGAUUUGCGGUAAUAUUGAUCAAUUUCUGUUUACCUUUCUAACUUAAUUGUUAAUCUUUAAUUUGAUUCUUAUUUCAUUUUCCGCGUAAUUAUGAAUUACAAUCAACUAACUGGAUCCAAUCUCAUUUUGAUUGAUAUAUUGAUUUGAUUCUUGAUUAUUAUUAUCAUUAUUUUGUUUCAGAAGCAAUUUAAUAAUAAUCUGACCGAGGGAAGGACUAAUCGAUUGAGCAAAACCACAAAAUCUUAAUUGUGUGCUAAUUUAUCAAUUGCAAUCAAAAAAAAAGAUGCGAAAUGAUUUACAAGCUGAUUGAUUUAAUAAUUGUUACAACAAGUAUAUAAUUAUCAACUCAAGUAAAUCAAUAUAUUGAAGGCAAGAAAAGUUGGAUGAACAAAAAGUUAAUCAUUAUAUGGAUAUACAAUUAAUAUUAAACUAAUUAAUACGCCUGUUGAUGGUUAUCACUAAUUACAAUUAAUUUAAAUUGUAAUUUUCCAAUUGAUGACUCGAAGGAUUUAGUUGUCCCAAUAAUGUUUCAAAUAAGGUGUUGAUUAUAACGGAUCAACCAAACAGUUACAAUCAUCACAAAGCCUGAAAACAAACUGGAAACAAGAAGUUGAUACAACAUUAAUCACAAUCAACACACACGCAAAUCAGUUGGGGUGUUAAUGUAUAUCAACACAAUUACACUUUUAAUGUUAAUUAAGGAUAGACAC